GGGCAGGUAGCUCAGUGGUAGAGCGGAAGAUUGCAGUACUCAGCUUGAGAACGCUGCAGACAUCUUUAGGUCGCGUGUUCGAUCCACGCCCGGCCCU
RNAcentral lists this transfer RNA (97 nucleotides) under Scedosporium apiospermum. It matches the Rfam family "tRNA". Rfam says of the family: Transfer RNA (tRNA) molecules are approximately 80 nucleotides in length. Their secondary structure includes four short double-helical elements and three loops (D, anti-codon, and T loops). The record is from Rfam by way of RNAcentral. Lineage: Eukaryota; Fungi; Ascomycota; Sordariomycetes; Microascales; Microascaceae.